AACGAACGCUGGCGGCAGGCCUAACACAUGCAAGUCGAACGCCCUAGUAAUAGGGAGUGGCAGACGGGUGAGUAACACGUGGGAACCUUCCCUAUAGUACGGAAUAGCCCAGGGAAACUUGGAGUAAUACCGUAUAAGCCCGAGAGGGGAAAGAUUUAUCGCUAUAGGAUGGGCCCGCGUAGGAUUAGCUAGUUGGUGAGGUAACGGCUCACCAAGGCAACGAUCCUUAGCUGGUUUGAGAGAAUGACCAGCCACACUGGGACUGAGACACGGCCCAGACUCCUACGGGAGGCAGCAGUGGGGAAUCUUGGACAAUGGGCGCAAGCCUGAUCCAGCCAUGCCGCGUGAGUGAUGAAGGCCUUAGGGUUGUAAAGCC
This 376-nucleotide ribosomal RNA is filed under the name uncultured bacterium. RNAcentral describes it as "bacterial SSU rRNA". It matches the Rfam family "Bacterial small subunit ribosomal RNA", at positions 29 to 432 of the family's 1533-position model. The record is from RNAcentral.